Long non-coding RNA from Sinocyclocheilus rhinocerous, 4109 nucleotides. RefSeq lists it as uncharacterized. The transcript is spliced from 2 exons. The record is from RefSeq and is a predicted model, not a curated record. NCBI's taxonomy places the organism in Eukaryota, Metazoa, Chordata, Actinopteri, Cypriniformes, Cyprinidae.
ACUCCCUCAGGCCAGUGCUGCCCGCCGCCCCCGUCCCUGCCGCUGCCGCCAUCGCCAUGGCAACACCCCGCGUGUAUGAGCCACCGCCGAUUCCGCCGUCGCACAAGGAGCCCCUCCUCCGCCGCUCCGAACUCACCCUACACACCCCUGAAACACCCUUCCGAUAGUGUGCUCCACGUCCUCUCUGCCUCUCCUUUCCUUGUGCUGCGUGUGUGUGUGUGUGUGUCAGAAAGAAGCCACAGGUGUAUGUUUAUGACGUGUGCGUGCUUGGGUUUAAGACGGUGGCUGUGUCGAUUUUAACUACAGACUGGAUUCUCUAACCUUGGUUCUGAUCUCAAACACACCCAGUGUAGUCAGGGCUGAAAAGGGAAACUGCAUGCUCUCAUUCCUGCACACUUAACCAAUGUAACACAUUGUCUGUUUAAAGAAACCUUCAAUCUAUGGCCAAUUAGUUUUGAAGGGUAGAUUAGGCACUAGUCAUGAUGCUUUUUAACUUUUAUAUCCUUAAGUGUUUGUAGUCUAUGAAUGAAUACUGGACUUGAUAUUUUUAAAUAUUGCUUGAUUAUAGUUAUAUGAACUUUACCAGUUUACGCAUUUAUAUAGUUAUUAAUAAGUUAGAUUUCAAUGCAUUUCAAAAAUGUUUAAAUAAGUUGAAUGUAUGUAUGUAUGUUUACUCCAAAGGUGUGUGAAGUGUAGGACCAGGGUUGGACAGUAUUUUACAUGUCUUUGUGUGUGUUUCUUGUUUUUCUCUGGGACUGUGGUGUAGCGUGUAUGCUUUCCAUUGGUUGUCAUGACAGGAACGCACACGUGCACAGGGAAGCAACCUCGAUCCACACGCACAUACAUACGCAUCCCUUACACCUCAGAUGGGAGAAACUUUAGUGAUGACCUUUAACCCUACCCUUCCAUCCCUGUCCACCCAUCCUGAAAGCUGAAAGACACUGUGACUUCUCUCCCCUCCAACUUUAAUGUAGCUACUUCCAUAGAUAUGGUGAUGUAUGGGAAGCAACCAAUCAGAGCAAGGUGUAGCUAGUCAGCUUUUGCUGUGAUCUGUCUUAUGGGAGCAUCUCUAAGCUCGCCAACUUAACUGCCAUGAUGCAUUGUAGAAUCUGUUUUUGUAAAGUGUCUUUUAUUAAUGCUAUCAUGUUUUUAUAAAGAGUGAUAAGGGACUCAAGUAUCCAUUUAAAGAGACAUACUCCUUUCGAUUGUUAACUUUUGUUUACAGCUGCAAGAGAGAGAACAUGUUCUUUCUUGUGGCUUUUUCACAGUGAUUGUUUAUAGCCAAAAUUCUCUUUUUUUAAUUUUUUUCUAGAAAAACAGCCAAAAUCAUUAGUGGCCUACUAUUUUUAUGCCUUAGUAGUAAAAUGUAUUAAAUUUUUGCAAUUUUUUUAAAUCUGUAGUCUUAUAAAGUGAAACUGGAUUAAGGCUACAUGAAAGUGCUGUAUAUUCUGUGGUGCUGUGAUUUGGUAUUAAAUGAAUUGGGAGAUUCCUAUCAGUUUCUUUCAGUCUUCCUGCUCAUUUCGCUGCUGCAACUCCAUAGAUGACCCUCACUGCAUCUCUCUUCAUCUCUCUUUGCAUCUGCCUCUCAUUUAGUGACAGUAUUUCAUUUGUUUACCAUGCCCCUGUUCGCACCUAUGUGCUGAGGAUGCCAGUGUGUGAAUGUGAAUGUGAUCUUAGAAAACGUUUUGCAUCGACAUUCAUGUUUGUAUUUUCUAUCAUGGUAACUGUUCUUGCCGCAAGUGUUCUCAGGAGAGAAGACUUUAAAGAUCUGUACACGAUCUUUACGACUAUAACAAGCCUUCAAAUAAAGAGCCUGCCUGAUCAUUUAAAGAGGGAACUCAAGAGCUUUUGCUUGGAGCUUUAGCUGUUUUUGCUUUUUGAUGUUUCAUAAUUGUUUUUUCCUUUGUGAAACGACCAGACUCGUAUGAAUCGGAGCCCUGAAAAGAAGCUAAAGGACAUGAGACUGAUCCCAAUCUCACCCCUGUCUUUAUGGAUGGGGUCCCUAUGGAACUGUGGACGCCAAACGCAGAGCUGGUUUGGGGGGAAGAAAGUUAGCGUCGCGCAAUGCACGGAAAACUCUCUCUCACUCCAUACAGGUAAACGCACUGUGCCUCGCCCCUUUCUACCUGUCGUCCUUCCCAAUAGCGUUUGCGCCUGACCGUGUAUCCGCUCUAUUUCUCCUCACCACCACCCCACCCCUCUUGUAGAUUCCUCACUUCUAGUCACCACUGCCAUAGCCAAUUGGUUCUCGAAACACCAGUGUUAUGCUACUCUGUCACUGCCAAAAAGGGGGGUGGCGGGGGUGACCGUUUACUGCUUCUGUGGUUAGUGUGUCUCGGUAAUGGGUGGGUGCUUGGUGCUCUAAUAACUGAUCUGUUGGUUUAGCUUUGGAGAGAGUGUGGUUAUAAUGUGUCCAUAAGCAAUUGAAUGUGUGGAAUUGCUGGUCAAUGAUUGAAAGACUGCGUAAAAUGAGCGUUAAAACAAGUUAGCAAGGGUGGCUGAUAAAGGUGUGUGACAAAGGUGAGUGAUUGUGAGUCAGUAUCGUCGACCUCAUCUGGCCCCCCCUUCCAUGUGCCUUUUUUGUUUGUUUAUAUGAUUUAACGCUUGCCCCCAGGCUUCCUCGAGUCUACUCGCCGUUAACGCCCAGCUCACCGCCGCCCUCGUCGAAUCCCCAGUGCUAGUUGUUACGUUUGUUCAGUGUUAACCACUGCUUGAACGCAUCCCUGAAAGCUCUGUGACUGGACCUGAGACACUGGCCAAAAUGUUAUUCGCAAGACUCUCAUUUGGACUCAGUGACACUGACAACCCUUAUCAAGCAUUGCUUGACUGUCUUACACUGCUGAGCCGCAACCCAGCAAAGCAUUCUUAUUAUAAACUUCUGCUUUUGUUUCCAAGAUUGACAACAAUUCUUGAGUGGAAGCUUAGGCAUAGUCAUCCCAAAUAGUUACCAAAUUUAUUUAGUUUUUGUUUGUCCGAUUAAAAGACAUUCUACUUUAAGUUAAUCUGAAAGCUACCUUGUGUUACCUGUUUAAAUGAGAGUCUGUUACGAUAUUUGUGUUUGCAAUAGCUGAGUGUACGAUAAGUAGGUGGCACCGAUUUAGAUCGCCUACCUGGUUAAAUUAAAUACCCGGUAGAAGAAUGUCCUAGAAAAAAAGCAGCUUCAGCUGGGAAAAAAUAAGACUGCUGAACCUGAGCUGCCUGAGGGAUACUUACAGGACCUUUCCUCCAGAGGGAGCAUGGUAGUGAAGUGUGAUUUAUUUCACUAGAAGGUGCUGUUGUUCCUGAUUUUACUUGCUUUUUCUGAUGAUGAUGUAGCAUCUUCACAUACAUUGUCACACAUCUGAAUUUCUUCUUGUCUAUAGUGUUUGUUUAACUUUGCCUGUAGAAUUGAGGGGAAAAGAAUGAGAUGACCUCAGUUUUAGAUCUUAUUCUGGAGGAAAGGGAACUGUCCAGUAGCUGGUACUCCCAAUGUUAGUGGUAUUAAGAUCUUUGGCUUGCAGAUAUUUGUGGUUGACAGAUUUCCGUGAUGUCCGUAGCAUCCGUUGAUGAUGAAAGAUGUCUGCGGCAGAUAGAUAUCAGAGGUGUUUGAGAAGAACCUUCCAUACAGAAUCUUGGUUCUUAAACAUGGUUCUUGGUUCGUAAACAAAUCACUUACCUUCUUCUCCAACUUGCUCUUCCAGCUGAAGUCUCUUUGAAUCUAGAUGGUACGCUCCAAAAUUUUCAAUGGAUAACAGAAUUAUUUUUCUGAUUACUUCCUCCCUAGAUAUCGUCAAACUUUCUGUUUAAAUUGGACAAUAACAAUAACACUACCAUUAGUGUUUGUGUCCCAAUAUAUUUAGAAAAUUCUAGUAUUUUCUUUUGUUUUUCUUUUUUAUUUAUCUUUUUUAAUUUUUUUUUUACUCUGAUUCUUUAAAUGGAUAUCCCCUACUGAGUGAAAAGGUUACUCCAGUACUUUUGAAAAAUAAAGUGCAUAAUUUUUAUAAUUCAUGUAUGAAACGUGAAUAAUUUCUAUUGCAGGUGAUAGGAUUUGAGCUGGUUGUAAUGUUUUUAUCACCUUCUAAUGAAUAUAUGCAUGCUUUGUUAAUGUGUGUAUAUUGCAAAAACCUUGC